CCUAGGAGCAACUGGCGCGCGUACUUCCAGUGUAGCAGGAAUAUGGAGAAGCUCAAAGAUCCCUACUUGCAGAGACAGUUGCUGAAGCACAAGAAACGUGACAUCGCAGACUUCUUCAUGGUGUUGCCCAAAACUCAGCACGACUCGGAUAACUUUGUGGUGGAUAUUUGGCUUGAGAGGGAAACGAUGCUCUGCUUUUCCGUCAGUGGCGUGUUCAAGGAAAGUGAGUGUCCAUAGAAGCCCCCGUCCAGAUCCCCUGCUG
Long non-coding RNA from Fukomys damarensis (Damara mole-rat), 262 nucleotides. RefSeq lists it as uncharacterized. The record is from RefSeq and is a predicted model, not a curated record. The transcript is spliced from 3 exons. Lineage: Eukaryota; Metazoa; Chordata; Mammalia; Rodentia; Bathyergidae.